CCUACGGGAGACAGCAGUGAGGAAUAUUGGUCAAUGGGCGCGAGCCUGAACCAGCCAAGUCGCGUGAGGGAAGACGGCCCUACGGGUUGUAAACCUCUUUUGCCGGGGAGCAACGGGCGCCACGUGUGGCGCCACUGAGAGUACCCGGAGAAAAAGCAUCGGCUAACUCCGUGCCAGCAGCCGCGGUAAUACGUAGGUGGCAAGCGUUAUCCGGAUUUACUGGGUGUAAAGGGCGUGUAGGCGGGGAAGCAAGUCAGAUGUGAAAACCACGGGCUCAACCUGUGGCCUGCAUUUGAAACUGUUUGGCUUGAGUACUGGAGAGGCAGACGGAAUUCCUGGUGUAGCGGUGAAAUGCGUAGAUAUUAGGAGGAAAACCAGUGGCGAAGGCGGUCUGCUGGACAGCAACUGACGUUGAGGCGCGAAAGCGUGGGGAGCAAACAGGAUUAGAUACCCGUGUAGUC
RNAcentral lists this ribosomal RNA (461 nucleotides) under uncultured bacterium. RNAcentral's name for it is "partial 16S ribosomal RNA". It matches the Rfam family "Bacterial small subunit ribosomal RNA", at positions 338 to 795 of the family's 1533-position model. The record is from RNAcentral.